Molecule: RNA transcript, 8511 nt
Organism: Diospyros lotus (date-plum)
Lineage: Eukaryota; Viridiplantae; Streptophyta; Magnoliopsida; Ericales; Ebenaceae
Exons: 2
Source: RefSeq, a predicted model, not a curated record
CCUCGAGCAAUGUCUCUUAUGAUUUUGUAACGCCUUCCCCAAUCCAAAUUGUCAUGGUUGACAAGAUCUAUAGAAUUAUUCACCUAUAGAGUUGAAAUAUAGCUUGAAAUAGAUUAAGAUAAUUUUCGUUGGCAAAAAGUUGAUAACAAAAAAAAAUCUUCUAUGAACAUUCACUAUGGAAACCAUACCAAAUAAGAAGUGAUCCAGCCUUGAGUUAAUCACGAACUCGUAGAGAAUGAGCAUUUCUCUAUCUUACAAACAAAAUUCAAGAAACCUAACUAAAUUCCAAUGUUGAAGCUUGGUCACUAGCGUAACCUCGUUCUUAAAUUCUAUUUCUCCUUGUCUAGAAUUCAAAGAGAGUCUCUUCACUGCUAUUUCUUGUCCAUUAGGAAGCUUACCUUGAAGAUCAACACUAAUAUGAUAAGUAGAUCAAUUGUCUUUGAAAGAGUUUUUAAUAAUAAGUAAAAUCCUAUAGAGUUUGAAUCUUGAAUUAUCUUGUAAACUACUGUAAAACUGCUUGGACCAAGCUUAUUGAAGUUAUCUGUUGUAAUGCAAAAAGUAUUAAAGUCGUAUUGCAAGGAUUGCAAAACACUGAUUUCAUCUCUUAAUGUACAUUCAUCUAGAGCUUCACAAACAAACCAUAAUAGGUUACCAGAAUGUGCCAAAAAGGGAAAUGAGAAAUGUUCCUAAAACAUAUAUUAGGCUUUUUUCGCUCUAGAGCCCUUCUAUUUACUAUAAUCCUUGCAAUACGACUUUAAUACUUUUUUCAUUAUAACAGAUAACUUCUGUAAUACUAAUAAGCUUGGUCGAGGUGAUUUUGGAGUAGUUUACAAGGUAAUUAAAGAUUCAAACAUUGCAGGAUUUUACUUAUUAUCAAAACUCUUUCGAAGGCAAUUGAUCUGCUUGUCAUUUUAUAUUAUUGAUCUUCAGGGUAAGCUUUCUAAUGGACAAGAAAUAGCAAUGAAGAGACUCUCUUUGAAUUCAAGACAAAGAGAAAUAGAAUUUAAGAACGAGGUUACGCUAGUGACCAAGCUUCAACAUUGGAAUUUAGUUAGGUUUCUUGAAUUUUGUUUGUAAGAUAGAGAAAGGCUCAUUCUCUACGAGUUCGUGAUUAACUCAAGGCUGGAUCACUUCUUAUUUGGUAUGGUUUCCAUAGUGAAUGUUCAUAGAAGAUUUUUUUUUGUUAUCAACUUUUUGCCAACGAAAAUUAUCUUAAUCUAUUUCAAACUAUAUUUCAACUCUAUAGGUGAAUAAUUCUAUAGAUCUUGUCAACCAUGACAAUUUGGAUUGGGGAAGGCGUUACAAAAUCAUAAGAGACAUUGCUCGAGGACUUUUAUACCUCUACGAAGAUUCAAGGCUUAGAAUUGUUCACCGUGAUUUGAAAACUAGUAAUAUUUUGUUAGAUGUUGAGAUGAACCCCAAAAUAUCAGAUUUUGGCAUGACAAGAUUAUUUAUGAUGUAUGAAACUCAAGGGUAUACAAGCAAAAUUAUAGGGACCUACUAAAAUUUUAACUCCAUCUCCACUUUAUUACUUUAAUCCAUAUCUGUUGUUGAUUUCUAAAAAUAUUAUGUUUUGGGUAUUACUUUAUUUUUUACUAAUUAUUCUAUUAAUCACAUUAAUACUUUAAACACUGCAGCAAAUACAUGUCUCCAGAGUAUGCAAGGCAUGGACAAUUUUCAAUAAAGUCAGAUAUUUAUAGUUUCAGCUAUUAGUUUUAGAGAUUGUUAGUGAUUGAAAAAUCACUUGUUUUCAAAAUGGCGAGAACGAAGAUGGCCUAUUAAGCUAUGUAAGUAUGAAUAUCGAUGGAAGGUUAACAAUCACCAUUUUCGAGAUGUAAGAGCUUAUAGAAAAUCUUGAAUGCUUGCAGGCUUGGAAGAGUUGACAAAACGAAAUAAUUUUAAAUCUGAUAGAUCCCGUGUUAAGGUCCGGUUCAAGUUCGAUGAACGAAAUAAUGAGAAACAUCCAUAUAGGAUUGUUAUGCAUUCAAGACUAUGUAGCUGACAAGCCAACAAUGGGUUACAUAGUCUUUAUGCUCAACAGCUUCUCUCAUACUCUUCCAAUUCCUUCAGAACUUGGAGCAACUGAGUCUAGCAAUUCGAAAGGUACUUCUAUUCAUGCAUCGAUCAACGAGACUUCAAUUACUAAAUUAUAUCCUCAAUAAUCGUUGAGAAUAUUACGACCAUUGUAUGUACGAUUUCAUAUGUUCUGGUCGAUUUCUUGCUAGACUUAUCUUUCAUUUAUUAUAUAUCUUACGAAACACUUUUUAUUUAGUUUAUGUGAAUUAUAAUGAAGCUCCAAAAUACAAUGUCCAAAUGUGAUCAUAUUGUCCGAUAAUUUUCAAAGCAAUUUGCUUGUUGGAUUGUAAAAAUCUAAAAAAAAAAUAAUAAUUAAAAAGAAAAAUGAAAUAAUUAAAAAAAAGGAAAAUAUAAAAGGAAAAGGGGGAGGUGCACGGGUAGCCCCCCUCCAAAAAUCGUCUCUCUCUUGAAUUCUACUGGUUUCUUGAGAUCCAAUCGUCCGAUCUUGCAUCCGACUUCAUUUUCACCGUUAAAGUGCCCCCAAUCUACAAGGAGAUAAGUGUUUUGGUAUGAUUUUUGGUGGUUUUUUCGUUGUUUCGCGAGAUGUAUGUAUAUAGGUGCGACUGGGUUUUUGGUCAGAUGUUUAAACUCAGAUCUACGGAGAUCUGACCGUUGGAUUUGGUUAGUUUUGGGGUAUGUUGGUCGAAAUAGUCGAGGGUCCCCCCCUAUCGCCCCAUCGGCAGCCACUCAAUCCCCGUCGUCCCCCACCGCACAACUUUCGCUGCUUGCUUUCGCCACAACCAUAUUCGCCAACGGCUGCUCCGCCAUCACCGUCGUUCGUGCUUCCUUUGUCGCCGCCGAUCUUCCAUGGCCGUGCUUACCGUCAUCGCUGGUGGUGCUUCCAGAUCUCACUUCCUGCGAACGUCGCACCAUCGCGGCCGUGCUCUGCCGCCGCCGCUUACUUCAAGUGCGACCAUGUUCCGCUGUCGACCGCCGUCGCUUGCCUGUUGGAGGAGAGAAAGCAAAUGACCCAGAAACCAACAGUUUUUGUGUAAGCACCCUCGCUCGGAUAUCCCAACCACCCGGUCUAUCCGAAUGAAAGCGCUUACAUAAGGGAAGAGAAAUAAACACAAGACAAAAAUGCCCUAGCAUGCAUACAUAAAAAAAAUACAACAGAAGCAAAACGAUAUACAUGCACGCCCACAAGUACUCUGCUGGAACAGCGGUCAAGGAGUAUAUAAAAAUAUACAGACACCUGUGCCAACAAAUAAAAGAUACAAGAAACAACCCGGCGCAGUAAAAAAUGAGAGACAGAACUCCUAACAAAACAUCAGAGACAACGAGGGCAAGUUAAAUGUACACCCUACCGACACGAAUUGCUGCUAGGUGGAAUGAUCCUCGCCCUCAGCCUUCGCUUUACCCUUACUUGGAAUGAUGGAAAGUAAGGUGAGUCGCAAGACUCAGCAAGUUAUAAGAAAGGGAAGGCUAUAAAUUAAACAGAAGAUGAGAUCACCCCUAACACAGUCCCGCACGUACACACAAGUCAUGUGACGUAACAAUACAACAAUGUAGCAUAAUAAAAGCACAUACCGGUCCUUGGGGCCCAUAUAAGACACCUGGCACCUAAGUUCCAUACCAACCUGCCGCUGCCUUGAAAGGUAACAUAGAUCUCCAACAAACCUGCACGCGUUGUCCCGGAUCGGUACUCCUGUCACUCGUAUCCAUGUCGGUACUCCCGACACCCGAGCCAUAGGCUCCCUUGGAACGGUACUCCCCUCCGAGAACUAAAUACUACUAGUAACCAUGCAAUGCACAUAACAAUGCAAUGGCGUAGUGAGCAUCAACGUGAUACACUGGCGCCCAUACAUCCAGGCAUCAAGCCAUGUUUCGCUCAUAUAGUAAACCACACGCGAUGCAUAUGCCCGUGCUGGAUGCAUCAUAGUCAAGCUAAGAUGUCCGUGACCAAGCAUAACCAGAUCAUGAAAACCCCAACAUGCAGCCCGUACCCAUGUGCACACCAAAACAUGCAACAAGAAUAAAACGAUACCAGUCAUGCUACAAUCACGUAAUGGCAGAGCUAGUCAACAGUGCUUGGCACCGGUUAACGGUCAGUGGAUAGGAGAGACCAGCCGGUGGCCUAAGAUAGAUCAUACGACAGUCACUCUGUCACUGAACAACUGAUCCUUGCCCCCACUGCACAAUUGCUCUAGCCUAUAAACAAUAAAAAAUCCAUAAUAAUACUCGAUCAGAUAAGAACCUAGCCUCGGGUGAGUACGACAUUAUUCCCAUAGGCUUGGGGGUGGCACAAACCCCCGUAGGCAACCAACGAAUAAAAUCAUCGAGACCAGCUUAAUAAAUUAAAUUUUAAAACAACCUGGUUAAAAUUCCACAAUUUAUUAAUAGCUGAAACAAACGAAGGGAGGUCAAAUAAAUUGACAACGAAAGAAACGUUGAGGAGGGCAUAAAGACCUUGCCUUUACGAAGAUAUCCUUAGGCUUGUUUUGACCUAACGCAGUAAAAAUUAUAUAAACUGUAACACCCAAAUUAUUUGCCAAAAUUAACAAAAUUGGACUCAAAACGAAAUUCCGACCAUACAGAAUAUUUAUUACUAGCUUGUCUACAUACUAGGCAAAUUAAAUCUUGAAUUAAACUGGAUUUAAUCUGAAUUUUCCACCCAAAUCUCCCAAUUUUUCUCCCGCGCGCACGCUGCUUUUCUCCCAAUUUCUCUGGCUGUUCUGAUGCAAUUAAAAGCGCCCGAGUUGGGCUUAAUUUGAAGCAAAAAGGAGCAGAUGUGAGGGAGCCACGUGACAGCGCUGGAGCAGCUGCUGGGGAGGCCACCGCCUCACUGAAACGACAUCGUUUCGGAUGCCUUUGGCUGAUUAAAAUCAGCCAAAUUUCCACAACCCCGCGCUCUCGCCCGCGGUUUCGAACCCGCGUUCGCUGCUUGGCCACCUUGCGCGCGACCGCUCGCGCCUGCACGCCACCUUCAACAUAUAUACACCUUACAUUAUAUUUAAGGUGACUUUUCGGCCCUUUCUAAAAUUCGCACCAGUACCCUCCAACUUCCAUUAUUUACACCCCCCCCAUUAAUUAAUUACACUAACGCCCGAAACUUCUAAAAAUCCCACAAUUUAAUUUAUUUCAAUUUUUUUCUUAUUCCAGAAAUAUUCUAAAAUAACAUAAUUUAUUAUCCUAAUUUCUUAUUUUCUUAAAACAUAAAAAAUUAUUAUUUUUAACAACAAAUUAUGUUAAUAUUCCUUUUUAAUUUUGAUUAACACAAUAACUCAAUAAUUAAAUUAAUUUGCUAUUUAUGGUCGCUACAUUUCGUCUCUAUCUUUCUCCAGUUUUUGCAUAUAUAUUUUGCUUAUGGCUUUGUUUUUGAUCUCCAUAUGCAGAGUCUAGGUGUGUUUUCGUCUAUCCACAUCUCUGAUUGGAAGAGAGUGUUUCUAGGGUUCGAAGAAAAACAAUCAUGUAUGUACGAUUCAGCGAUAGUUUUCGCAUAUUGGUUAAUGGGUAUAUGGCGAUUUGUGGAUUUUGGCUUCUCCGUAUGUUCCUCGCAGAAUAGGUUACACGGAAAAUAAUUGGCUAUAGUUAUUUAGAGUCUAUUUCUUCUCCACUGUGUAGGAUGAGGCUGAUGGCUCCAACGAAUACAAUGAUUUCCAGUGAGGGUCUCUUAACACUAGAAGUAGCUUAUUAGAGACUUGGAGAUAUUUGUUAUGCAAAUGGAUAUAUUUCCCAGUGGGAUCAAUUUACUGCACAGAUUGAGCCUAUUGUUUCUACUGUACCUUACAUGAUUGCAAGGUCUGUUGAAACUUUAUGAGAGAAAAUUUUUGGAGGAUGCAAACAUCUCCCAUUUAUUGUGUGGUAACUGAUGAUUUGUCCCUUGCCGCGGUAACCAUGAGCGUGAUUGGCCUGGAACAGGUUCCUUUUAUGAGAACAAGGAUUCAGGAGGAGAAUGUGGCGUGCUAGCUGAGACAAUGUUCUAUGUUCCUGCUGAGAAUAGGGCUAAAUUCUAGUAUGAGAAUAUCGUGAUAACAACCAGUUAAAAUUAUAUGAAUCUUUUUUGGGUUCAUAUGCAUAUACAUAGGCAUAUGUUUUCAUCUUUUAAUUAGUUCAACAAUCUUUAACUUUUAGCCUUCUACCACUUGCUAAGUUUCCUCUGAAUUCUUCAAUAAUGAUUUGUGAAUUUUGUAGGAACAAGUAAAAGAUCUUAAGAUAUUAGCACGAAUAUUCGUAAGCACUCUCACAUAAAUUUGUUGCGAUCCAGAUUAUAAGUAAGCAUUGUAGGAUCAAAUCACUAAAGCUUUGAAGUUCAUAAUAUUAGACCAACUUAGAUUUUGGACUCUGUGAUAAUGCGGCACUGUAGUGGAGGAUAAUUGUCAGUAUGAGUAUUUUAUAUCCAUUUGUAACAAUCUGUUGGGCUAUUGAGGAUAAUUGUCACACUGCCAAAGGCAUUUCAUAAUUGUCGAUUUUUUUCCCAUUUCGUUUUUCAAUUCUGAUUUGUGUUAUUUGAUUAUGGUUGAAUUCAGUUCAUUCACUAACUUCAUCUGACUGUUAUUUCAUGUGUCAACUCUAGAUUUUUGGAAUAAGCUAAUUUUUUAAUUACAUGUAAAAAUGGGACUAGAAGAUUAGCUUAUGGUAUCUAUCUGUUGCUAGGGUAUGGAAUUAUAUGAGGAAUGCAUAUUUGUCCCUUAAUAGAUUUCUGUAAAUGUCCAAGUUGCUUCCACAAUCAUCGAUUUCUUUUUAUGAUACAGGCCACCUAUUUUUUGUUUUUGUUUUCGAUCAAUGAGAGUUAAAGUUUCCAGGAAAAUAAAAAUAAUAAUAGCACAAUCAAUCAUAGUGGUGCUCUAUAUAUGUAGUUUGUAUUUUCCAUGGGAUUGCCUGCCAACAGGAGGAACCUGGUGUCGGUGGUGGCCACUGCAAAAAUCGGGAAGGGAAGGUACGGACGACCCUAAAUUUUGUUAAUUAAUUAUUGGACUAAGUCUCCAUACUGUACCAUACCAUGCUAUACAUGGUUCUUUUUCUUUCUUUUGUGGCUGUCUUUUUGAAUUUUCUCCCUCUCAGAUUUUGUUGCUAAUACUGUUUGCUUAGAUGUAAUUAAUUGUAUUAUUAUAUCUUCAAAAAGGAAACUUCUUGGAACUUUUCAAAUUAUUUAUUUAUUUUUUUAAAAUUUGAUUAUGCAAGUUCUAAUUUCUGAGUAAAUAAACUUAAUUACUCAAAAAGAGGAUCUCCAAACAUCCUAAUCAAAUUGGCAUGCAUGCUCAUGGGGGUUGAGAAUAGACUUUAAUUAUUUGCAUGCUCGAGGAUGACAAUUAACAUUCAAGUGGUUAAUUAUAUAUAUAGUAAUUACAUUACAUGCUGUGUGGGUACAACUGCCUUAAUUUGCUUCUCCUUGAUAAGGAAUAUGCCCUGAAAGCUACACUACUCCCAUUUAGAACAGGAACAGGCAUGCCAAUAUACCAUGCCAUUGCCAUUCAUUAACGUGGCUGCAACUUUAAGUUAACUCGGGUUUGGGUUAGAUGAUGAUGAUGAUGAUGAUGUGUAGUUUUCAGGUGUUGGUAAUGAAGAAGAUCUAUUAUUCACUCCAAACCUUCAAGACUCAGUGCCCCUUCUGAAUAAUAAAUAAAUAUGUUCUUUAUUUGAUGCAUAGAAUAGGUGGUGUUAAAAAGGAGCGCAAUUUAACUUAUAGGUUGUUUCAGGAGUUCAGAGGAUUUCAAUGUUUACAUGGCUUGAAUUUUGUAUGGAUGAACUCAGAUCUAACUCUCUGCUGAUUGGAUCUGAAUUUUUGAUAUGUGAAAUUGUCAUUAAUGCAUAUAUUUUAUCUUCUAGAUUUGUAGUUUGUUUUAGGAGUUCAGAAGAAUCUAACGUUUACAGUCUUGAAUUUUGUGUCAUUGUAUGGAUGGGUGCAGAUUUCGUUUUGAUGAUUUAGUGUCUUUUUCUUCUGCCUCCCAACUCAAGCCGUUGGUUAAUAAUUUUAAUAAGUCGGAGUCUGCUCUUGAUUAUUCUCAAGGUUACCUUCCCCCAUUUUCUAGGGUUUCUUUUUCUUCGUCUAUGAUUGAUCGUUAUUUACUCUAUUUUCAAUCAGAUUCAUUUUAUUUUUUGAUUCAAGCUUAUUGUUGAGUCAUGUCAAUUGUUUGAUAAGAUUAUUCUCUCUUUUUUGUUGCCGGGUGGAGGAGGUUUAGUAUUUAAAUUUUUAAAAAAAAUGAAAUAAUACCCAAUGACUGAUUGUUUCCUUAUGAAUGGGAUUGUAGUUUUCGUGGGCAUUGUAUAAUCUUUUUCUUUUUGUUUUUUUAGUUUUUGUCAGUUUUGGUUUUUGUAUGUGAUGUGCCCUAUGUUGAUGAGAUGAGAUUAUGUUGUUGAUGAUGCAGAAGAAGAUGUGCAUUUGGGUGUUGCACAUCAGAUGUACAAGGCUGGAAAUUAUAAACAAGCUCUGGAGCACUGCAAUGCUGUUUAUGAGAGCAACCCACUGCAUUUAUAUUAUCAGCUACGUGAUUU